CCUACAAGCGGUGGAUCACUCGA
This 23-nucleotide ribosomal RNA is filed under the name Oligonychus perseae (avocado spider mite). RNAcentral describes it as "partial 5.8S ribosomal RNA". The record is from RNAcentral. Lineage: Eukaryota; Metazoa; Arthropoda; Arachnida; Trombidiformes; Tetranychidae.